Molecule: ribosomal RNA, 466 nt
Filed under: uncultured bacterium
Lineage: Bacteria
Description: bacterial SSU rRNA
Rfam family: Bacterial small subunit ribosomal RNA
Source: RNAcentral
GAUGAACGCUGGCGGCGUGCCUAACACAUGCAAGUCGAACGAAGCACUUAAGCUUGCUUAAGUGACUUAGUGGCGGACGGGUGACGUAAUGUGUGAGCAACCUGCCCUGGAUGGGGGACAACAGUUGGAAACGACUGCUAAUACCGCAUAAUGUACUUUUAAGGCAUCUUUAAGGUACCAAAGAUUUAUUGCUCUGGGAUGGGCUCACAUCUGAUUAGUUUGUUGGUGAGGUAACGGCUCACCAAGACUGCGAUCAGUAGCCGGACUGAGAGGUUGAACGGCCACAUUGGGACUGAGAUACGGCCCAGACUCCUACGGGAGGCAGCAGUGGGGAAUAUUGGGCAAUGGGCGAAAGCCUGACCCAGCAACGCCGCGUGAAGGAAGAAGGUCUUCGGAUUGUAAACUUCUUUUAUGAGGGACGAAGAAAGUGACGGUACCUCAUGAAUAAGCCACGGCUAACUACGUG